Non-coding RNA from Styela clava, 1660 nucleotides. NCBI's taxonomy places the organism in Eukaryota, Metazoa, Chordata, Ascidiacea, Stolidobranchia, Styelidae. The record is from RefSeq and is a predicted model, not a curated record.
AUUUGUGUUAGUGUGCACAGCAGACUCUUGAAUUGCAUAGUAUGGUAUUUUAUUCUUGCUACAGCAUCCUUGCAUUACAUGCAUACGGAUCCACUAGCGCAAAGGCAUAGAGGAAGGAUUGAGAGUUAGUCUCGCACAACCUCUACUGAUCGUUAUAUUAGUCUUUUCGCGUGACUUCUGUAUCCGAAUGGAUCCUGCCAAACUCCGGACUCGACAACUACCACAAGAAAAGAAUUUAGAAGCAAUACUAAAAAGAAUUCAACGCCUUUAAAAGAAUCACAUUAAAAGGACCCUGGCUAUCAAGAUCUGAGCCUAGAACACAUUGAUAAUGUUAAACACAUUGGUAAAUUCCACUAGCGCAAAGGCAUAGAGAAAGGAUUGGGAGUUAGUCUCGCGCAACCUCUACUGAUCGCUAAUUUAUUAGUUGUUGAACGUGACCCUCGUCGAACCCCUGGAACAGCUCCAACGAACACCAAAAAUUCGAUUGAACCCAGGUAAAAAAAAAAACUGUUAUAGACCAGCGUUUCCCAAACUUUUUCGGCCACGGAACUUUUACACUUUUUAUCUCGCCUCGCGAAACAAAAAUGAAAGGGUAAAAUUGAUAAAGGAAAGCGGUCUAAUGUAGUGGUUCCCAAUGGAUAAUAUUUUGGACAUCUUGUGCGAUAAUUGAAAUAUUUGCAGCUCUUCCUGACUAGCGGGAUUGAACAUGAUAUAUAUAUCAGUUUAUACGUGACAAAAUAUGAAUUGAUAGAUUAUAAGAUUACAUAUAUACUUGCUCUUUACUUUUCAGACUAUAUAGGCGUCAAUCUCACUCCGUGAUGCACCAGACUAUUAACAAUGUCGAUUCUGUUUGAUGCAAUGACUCUUUCAAGCAGUGUUUUAGAAAACUGAAAAUAAAUAUAUAGUUUCAUUAUCAAGUUUGGGAUUUAUAAAUCACAAAAAGUGCUGUUUGGCAGAGGUAAAGCAAAGGUAAACUUAUAUUAAAAAUACAUAAAAAAAAUCAAUCCAAUGUUAUGUUCAUGCGUAUACUGAGUCCAUCUAACUUUAGGUGAAACUAAAUUUCGUUGACCUAAGACACUAUCAAGUUAUUUAAAUCACAAAAAAUGCUAUUUAACAGAAAUACAGAAAAGAGAUUUGGUUAAAGACAUAGUCUUUUAAACUAUGUCCUUAUCAAUCUUUGGAGCUGUAAUUAACAUGGACACAGAGUAGCUAAGCUUAUACUAGAAGUUAAAAAAAAUAAAAAUAUUAAUUUUUCGUUUAAAUAAAAUUAUUUGCUGAUUUGCUGCGUUACAGUAUCGCCACUGGAAACGAUAUUUUAUUUUGGGGCUUGCAUGGCGUAGUUAACCAAUGCCAAAUCGUAUAGAAUUCACAUUGAUACACUCGGUUGGAAUUACUUAUUAGCCAGAAAAAAACGAUAGUUGUCCGAAUCAUGAUAUUAUACAGUAUUUAGACUAGAGGAUUUUCCAAAAUAAAUUCCAUUUGACAGACAAACCAAAGCUGAGCUUAUACUCAAUAUAAUAAAAAUAAUACUUUGUCAGCAGGUUUCCCGAAAAAAUUGCAGAUAUUAUUUAUUGAUAGAUAUACAAGUAAUUUACACGAGACGCGAGAUAUUCCAAACUUGAACGGCUUAAAAUGUUUGUGUACCACAGGCAUUGUGCGU